AGAGAAUAGAUACCCGGGUAGUCCUGGCCGUAAACGAUGUCGACUAGAUCGUAGUGCCUCUGACGGUAUUACGGUCGAAAGCAAAAAAGUGCUAAGUCGACCGCCUGGGAAGUACGGUCGCAAGGCUAAAACUCAAAGGAAUUGACGGGGGCGUCACACAAGCGGUGGAGCAUGUGGUUCAAUUCGAAGCAACGCGCAGAACCUUACCUGGGCUUGACAUGCUAGGAUUAUCCCUAUGAAAGUAGGGUAGGCCCGUAAGGGGAACAACUAGUACAGGUGCUGCAUGGCUGUCGUCAGCUCGUGUCGUGAGAUGUCGGGUUAAGUCCCUUAACGAGCGAAACCUUUGCCCUUAGUUACCAGCGGGUUAUGCCGGGGACUCUAAGGGGACUGCCGGUGUCAAACCGGAGGAAGGUGGAGAUGACGUCAAGUCCUCAUGGCCUUUAUGCCCAGGGCCACACACGUGCUACAAUGCGGCGCACAAAGCGGACCUAAAGCGCAAGCUCAUGGAAAUCGCAGAAAUCGCCGCCCAGUUCAG
RNAcentral lists this ribosomal RNA (535 nucleotides) under uncultured bacterium. Its description in RNAcentral is "bacterial SSU rRNA". It matches the Rfam family "Bacterial small subunit ribosomal RNA", at positions 774 to 1296 of the family's 1533-position model. The record is from RNAcentral.